RNAcentral lists this long non-coding RNA (864 nucleotides) under Cyanistes caeruleus (blue tit). RNAcentral describes it as "lncRNA (ENSCCEG00000021501.1)". Lineage: Eukaryota; Metazoa; Chordata; Aves; Passeriformes; Paridae. The record is from RNAcentral.
CUGAUUAGUUCUGUUCUGUACAUUCAUUUUCUCUUGGAAGUUGUCCAUUCCCCUACAGACUUCUCUUAACUGUAUUUGUAUUUCUUGUAUGCCUGCAUUUCCCUCUCAAAAGUGAUGGGGAGGGAAAAUGUUAUUUUUGAUGAAUGCCUAUAAUUGAUUUAAUGACGUAUUUUCAAUUAUUUGCUACUGCAGUCUUUCUGUUUACCUUGUACUUCACUACUGACGAAAAUGUAGUAGGUAUUGUUAGUGAUGUCUCCAAUUAAUUCAAAGUCUUUCUUCCCUCACUUACAGGAGAUUUACAAUCACUAAUUAUCUAUUCAGUAUACACAAUGCUUUUGUCAUAGAAUGACAGCAGUCACUGUGUUUUAUCUCUCCUUUUGACAUUCUCUCAGUGUUUUUUUUAGGCUUGAGCAACCUAAAUAUUCUGCUGUCUGCAAAUGCUGCCACUUGAAUUCUGUUGUUAAAUAGUGAAUGUACAGAUUCUGCUGUGACAUCUUCAAUUGAGGCAUCUAGUUUUCAAACCAGACUUUUCUUCCUGUUUAUUGUGUUACUAUCCUUAUUUACAUGGGCAAGAAAUGGCCCCAACAAAUGGCAAAUGAUGUAAUUAGUUCAAGAUGAAACAAUGUAAUCCUUUGAAGGUGGAAUCAAUUGGCAAAUCAGGAGCCAGCUCUGUGAACUGGAGUAGAUGGGAAGAAUGCCACCCGUUUGAAAAUGAGCGACACCAGACUCUGAAUCUACUGUCACAACUGGGAGUUGUGGGGAGAACAGCUGUGACCUGGCCACAGCAGCUGGAGUCAGCUUUAUAAUGAACUUGUGGGAGGAAGCAGAGGUGGGAAGAACAUGGUGCCAUACAGUGGGUGAGUU